CAACCAUUGGAAACGAUGGCUAAUACCGCAUAAUGUUUUUUAUUAAACCAAAGUGGGGGAUCUAUUUAUAGACCUCAUGCUUUUGGAUGAACCCAGACGAGAUUAGCUUGAUGGUGGGGUAAUGGCCUACCAUUGCGACGAUCUCUAGCUGGUCUGAGAGGAUGUCCAGCCACACUGGAACUGAGACACGGUCCAGACUCCUACGGGAGGCAGCAGUGAGGAAUAUUGGUCAAUGGGCGAGAGCCUGAACCAGCCAAGUAGCGUGAAGGAUGACUGCCCUAUGG
This 284-nucleotide ribosomal RNA is filed under the name Phocaeicola vulgatus. Its description in RNAcentral is "partial 16S ribosomal RNA". It matches the Rfam family "Bacterial small subunit ribosomal RNA", at positions 144 to 422 of the family's 1533-position model. The record is from RNAcentral. Lineage: Bacteria; Pseudomonadati; Bacteroidota; Bacteroidia; Bacteroidales; Bacteroidaceae.